AAAGUCGUAACAAGGUUUCCGUAGGUGAACCUGCGGAAGGAUCAUUAAAAAACAAUGUUGUGCGAGGCGGUCCCAGGCAUUGCCAGGUGGCCGCUUAGACAUCAACACCCUUUGUAUAUCUACCAUGUUGCUUUGGUGGGACGGCAGCCAACAGCUCUGCUGGGAACCUGUCCGCACGGCCCUUCAAGGCCCCGCGAGCGCCCGCCAGAGGACCAUCAAACUCAUGUUGAACCGUGAUGUCUGAGCUUUACAAGCAAUAAGUUAAAACUUUCAACAACGGAUCUCUUGGUUCUC
RNAcentral lists this unclassified non-coding RNA (294 nucleotides) under Ascomycota sp. Its description in RNAcentral is "partial contains small subunit ribosomal RNA, internal transcribed spacer 1, and 5.8S ribosomal RNA". The stretch from base 1 to 47 matches the Rfam family "Eukaryotic small subunit ribosomal RNA", at positions 1785 to 1831 of the family's 1831-position model. The record is from RNAcentral. Lineage: Eukaryota; Fungi; Ascomycota.